RNAcentral lists this ribosomal RNA (253 nucleotides) under uncultured bacterium. RNAcentral describes it as "partial 16S ribosomal RNA". It matches the Rfam family "Bacterial small subunit ribosomal RNA", at positions 524 to 776 of the family's 1533-position model. The record is from RNAcentral.
UACGGGGGGGGCAAGCGUUGUUCGGAAUUACUGGGCGUAAAGGGCUCGUAGGCGGCCAACUAAGUCAUACGUGAAAUCCCUCGGCUUAACCGGGGAACUGCGUCUGAUACUGGAUGGCUUGAGAUUGGGAGAGGGAUGCGGAAUUCCAGGUGUAGCGGUGAAAUGCGUAGAUAUCUGGAGGAACACCGGUGGCGAAGGCGGCAUUCUGGACCGACAUUGACGCUGAGGAGCGAAAGCCAGGGGAGCAAACGGG